UCAUUUUUGAAGCGAUUAGCUUGCUAAGAGUGGAAAAGCUGAUAACUUAGUGGCGGACGGGUGAGUAACGCGUGGGUAACCUGCCUUACACAGGGGGAUAACACUUAGAAAUAGGUGCUAAUACCGCAUAAGCGCACAGUCCCGCAUGGGACAGAGUGAAAAACAUUAGUGGUGUAAGAUGGACCCGCGUCUGAUUAGCUUGUUGGCGGGGUAACGGCCCACCAAGGCGACGAUCAGUAGCCGGCCUGAGAGGGUGGACGGCCACAUUGGGACUGAGACACGGCCCAAACUCCUACGGGAGGCAGCAGUGGGGGAUAUUGGACAAUGGGGGGAACCCUGAUCCAGCGACGCCGCGUGAGUGAAGAAGUAUUUCGGUAUGUAAAGCUCUGUCAGCAGGGAAGAAAGAAAUGACGGUACCUGACCAAGAAGCCCCGGCUAACUACGUGCCAGCAGCCGCGGUAAUACGUAGGUGGCGAGCGUUAUCCGGAAUGAUUGGGCGUAAAGGGUGCGUAGGCGGCCUGCUAAGUCUGGAGUGAAAGGUACCGGCUCAACCGGUACAGGCUCUGGAAACUGGCGGGCUAGAGAGCAGGAGAGGGCGGUGGAACUCCAUGUGUAGCGGUAAAAUGCGUAGAUAUAUGGAAGAACACCAGUGGCGAAGGCGGCCGCCUGGCCUGUUACUGACGCUGAGGCACGAAAGCGUGGGGAGCAAAUAGGAUUAGAUACCCUAGUAGUCCACGCCGUAAACGAUGA
This 750-nucleotide ribosomal RNA is filed under the name uncultured bacterium. RNAcentral's name for it is "bacterial SSU rRNA". It matches the Rfam family "Bacterial small subunit ribosomal RNA", at positions 49 to 812 of the family's 1533-position model. The record is from RNAcentral.